Molecule: small nuclear RNA, 195 nt
Organism: Rosa rugosa (rugosa rose)
Lineage: Eukaryota; Viridiplantae; Streptophyta; Magnoliopsida; Rosales; Rosaceae
Product: U2 spliceosomal RNA
Exons: 1
Source: RefSeq, a predicted model, not a curated record
AUACCUUUCUCGGCCUUUUGGCUAAGAUCAAGUGUAGUAUCUGUUCUUAUCAGUUUAAUAUCUGAUACGUGAAUCAAUGGUUCACAUGAUAUUAAAUUAAUUUUUUUAAGGGAUGAGUCCACUACAAUAGCUUGUUAUUGGGGCUCACAAGUGUCAUCUUUGUGUUGCACUAUAGCAAAGCUUGACGCACCCUAC